This 447-nucleotide ribosomal RNA is filed under the name uncultured bacterium. RNAcentral's name for it is "bacterial SSU rRNA". It matches the Rfam family "Bacterial small subunit ribosomal RNA", at positions 355 to 825 of the family's 1533-position model. The record is from RNAcentral.
UGGGGAAUUUUGGACAAUGGGGGAAACCCUGACCCAGCAACGCCGCGUGAAGGAUGAAGUAUUUCGGUAUGUAAACUUCGAAAGAAUAGGAAGAAUAAAUGACGGUACUAUUUAUAAGGUCCGGCUAACUACGUGCCAGCAGCCGCGGUAAUACGUAGGGACCAAGCGUUGUUCGGAUUUACUGGGCGUAAAGGGCGCGUAGGCGGCAUGACAAGUCACUUGUGAAAUCUCUGGGCUUAACCCAGAACGGCCAAGUGAUACUGUCGCGCUAGAGUGCAGAAGGGGCAAUCGGAAUUCUUGGUGUAGCGGUGAAAUGCGUAGAUAUCAAGAGGAACACCUGAGGUGAAGACGGGUUGCUGGGCUGACACUGACGCUGAGGCGCGAAAGCCAGGGGAGCAAACGGGAUUAGAUACCCACGUAGUCCCUGAGCGGGCUGGCAAGGCGCAU